UCUGCCACGCCGCUUCCGCCGGCGGCCCUGCCACACUUCCAGCCUGCGGAUACACCGCCUCCUCCUUCAGCCCCGCCACACUUCCGGUCUUCCGCCACGCCGCUUCCGCUGGCAGCCCUGCCACACUUCCGGCACACGCGCUCGGGAAAGUCAUCGGCGCUCCGCGCCCCGCCCGUCCCGCACAUGCGCAGAGGGCGCGCUGGGCCUCUGGUGAAGAAAGAAAUGAUGGAUUAAAGUGGGGAGAAAAACCCCAAGCUGGAAACUUUUGAGCUGGACUUGUGUGCGGAGCUGCUACCCCUUCGCCACUAGAUGUCACUGUGAGGCAGGAUUUUCAGGAGUUCUCAUUUUGUGCCAGCAUGGCAGAAUAUGUCGCCCACCUCUCCUCGGCCUGGCACGCAGGCAGGCAGCCCCCUCACACCUCUGCCCUCUGCCCUUUGGAGCUCAUGGAUCUGGGAGUUACUGAGCAGGCGCCACCAUUGGAGCAGCCUCCACCAUCCCAGGAUCUGGGCGACGAGGAGGAUAUCGACUCGCCGCUGGAUCCUGACGUGCCCUAUCCUGACUUGGCGCCUGUGGUGUUCUUUUGCUUGAAACAGACCACCAGUCCCCGCAACUGGUGCAUCAAAAUGAGCAGCUCAGCUGUUGCAAUGUGUGAUCAAAAGGAGCUGCUUUACCAAAGGGAGAACUUCAGAGAAAGCGAGUGUCGGCCGGAAUGACACAGAUAGGGACGGGAGGGAAGGAGAAGAGAGAAGACAGACUUUUCAAAAUGUAUUUCCACACCUUCGUGUUACUGAGUCAGUGACAGUGGGAUGGUUUGAAGUUGCAGGGAAAGGGGUACUCCCAGCUCCUGCUGGCUUCUCACUAGGUCUUUAGUUCAAUGAGGGAUAUUUAUUCAUCUAACAGUACUGUACAUACCAUGAACUCAGCCUCUGCUUGGAGACAGAGCUGAAGUUCCUGCUUCUCGGUUGCGGGGCCAUUAGAAUAACUCUCAUACUGCUAGCUAGUGAGCAUAAACUAGCUGCUGAGUGUCUUCUCCUGGGGAUACUCCUCUCUAGAUUCCACCAGGAUCAAAGAUGAGCCUACUCCAGAGAAUCCAUUUCAGGUUUGAUUCUGGGACAGGAAUUUGGGAGUUUAGUGAGUGUUGUGAGGAUACUUCUGUAAUGUAGAUAUGAUCAGCAAAUCUCAUCAUCACACCCCUCACUACUGAAUCUC
This is a long non-coding RNA of Dermochelys coriacea (leatherback sea turtle), 1209 nucleotides long. RefSeq lists it as uncharacterized. NCBI's taxonomy places the organism in Eukaryota, Metazoa, Chordata, Testudines, Dermochelyidae. The transcript is spliced from 4 exons. The record is from RefSeq and is a predicted model, not a curated record.